UCUUUGGUAGUAUAUCGGUUAGUACACGCGCCUGUCAUAAAGGCAUCCUGGCGCACUAUAAACGCGCGAAAGCUGGGUUCGACUCCCAGCCAGAGAG
Hymenopellis radicata is the source of this 97-nucleotide non-coding RNA. NCBI's taxonomy places the organism in Eukaryota, Fungi, Basidiomycota, Agaricomycetes, Agaricales, Physalacriaceae. The record is from the annotation of a GenBank genome assembly.